GCCUACGGCCAUACUAGUCUGAAAGUGCCUGAUCUCGUCAGAUCUCAGAAGUCAUGCAGACUUGGGCCUGCUUUAGUACUUGUAUGGGAGACCAACUAGGAACCUCAUGUCCCGUAACUU
Molecule: ribosomal RNA, 120 nt
Filed under: Pelobates cultripes (western spadefoot toad)
Lineage: Eukaryota; Metazoa; Chordata; Amphibia; Anura; Pelobatidae
Source: RNAcentral